Molecule: ribosomal RNA, 519 nt
Filed under: Triticum aestivum (bread wheat)
Lineage: Eukaryota; Viridiplantae; Streptophyta; Magnoliopsida; Poales; Poaceae
Description: partial small subunit ribosomal RNA
Source: RNAcentral
AUGCGGAGAUCGCGCGUAUCCGCGCCUCCCUGCCACAGGCGGCGAGGGAAGGUCCACGGUACGUCCCCGACAGCCUGCUCUGGGAGCCCUAGUUCCGCCGCCGCCACGCCUAGCAGCUCGAGGCCACCAACGGCGUCGUGCUCUCCGGAAGGCUCAACUCCGAAGGGCGGCGCCGAUGGUGGGGCGUGCCCGGCCGCACGCUGGAGGCCGUCCUCGAGUACAUCGAGGGCGGCAACACGCCGAGGCUGGAGUACCCCGCUCCCCCAUCCUUCUCUCGCCGACGUGGGAGCUCGUGGACGCCGAGGCGCAUGGACCCCGGGGCGUCCUCCUCCUCGUCCGGCCGCUCGUCUGGCUCUCCCUGCCUCCGCCCCGUCAAGCCGGAGCCCCAGGACACGCCUGUCAGCCGGCGCACCCGCAGCUCCGGCGUCCACAUCGGCGACUCCACCCCCGCCUCUGGCCGCCUCGUCCUCGUCAGGCCCAAGCCGGAGCCCGGCCUCCCCGCGGAGUACGAGGAGAUAG